GACCACGUAGCUCAGUUGGCAGAGCAUUGGACUAUAGUAUCCCAAGGUCGUGGGUUCGAUUCCCACCGUGGCCA
RNAcentral lists this transfer RNA (74 nucleotides) under Paramuricea clavata. It matches the Rfam family "tRNA". From Rfam's summary of the family: Transfer RNA (tRNA) molecules are approximately 80 nucleotides in length. Their secondary structure includes four short double-helical elements and three loops (D, anti-codon, and T loops). Lineage: Eukaryota; Metazoa; Cnidaria; Anthozoa; Malacalcyonacea; Plexauridae. The record is from Rfam by way of RNAcentral.